GAGGGUGAUCGGCCACACUGGGACUGAGACACGGCCCAGACUCCUACGGGAGGCAGCAGUAGGGAAUCUUCCGCAAUGGACGAAAGUCUGACGGAGCAACGCCGCGUGAGUGAUGAAGGUUUUCGGAUCGUAAAGCUCUGUUGUUAGGGAAGAACAAGUGCGAGAGUAACUGCUCGCACCUUGACGGUACCUAACCAGAAAGCCACGGCUAACUACGUGCCAGCAGCCGCGGUAAUACGUAGGUGGCAAGCGUUGUCCGGAAUUAUUGGGCGUAAAGGGCUCGCAGGCGGUUUCUUAAGUCUGAUGUGAAAGCCCCCGGCUCAACCGGGGAGGGUCAUUGGAAACUGGGAAACUUGAGUGCAGAAGAGGAGAGUGGAAUUCCACGUGUAGCGGUGAAAUGCGUAGAGAUGUGGAGGAACACCAGUGGCGAAGGCGACUCUCUGGUCUGUAACUGACGCUGAGGAGCGAAAGCGUGGGGAGCGAACAGGAUUAGAUACCCUGGUAGUCCACGCCGUAAACGAUGAGUGCUAAGUGUUAGGGGGUUUCCGCCCCUUAGUGCUGCAGCUAACGCAUUAAGCACUCCGCCUGGGGAGUACGGUCGCAAGACUGAAACUCAAAGGAAUUGACGGGGGCCCGCACAAGCGGUGGAGCAUGUGGUUUAAUU
This 664-nucleotide ribosomal RNA is filed under the name Bacillus sp. (in: firmicutes). Its description in RNAcentral is "bacterial SSU rRNA". It matches the Rfam family "Bacterial small subunit ribosomal RNA", at positions 296 to 951 of the family's 1533-position model. Lineage: Bacteria; Bacillati; Bacillota; Bacilli; Caryophanales; Bacillaceae. The record is from RNAcentral.